ACAAACUAAUAUUCUUUAACUCAAACCGAAAGGAAUAAUAAAACUAACAAAAGAAGAUAUAAAAAAUCGUACCUUUUGCAUAAUGGUUUUACAAUAUCAAUUAUUUUAUAAUAAUCCCGAAAAUUUAUGAUCUAAUUAUUAUUUGUUAAGAACUAGGCAUAUGUUACAUCAUAACAAUAAAAUAAUAAUUAGAGGCUACAUACCUUCCGCAUAAAUUUAUAUCUGGUUUUACAUACAUCUGUUUUAGACAGAAUUAUUACACCUAAACUUAUAGGAUAAGCUAUAAGCAACUUAUGAAUUUAAACCAAAAAUUAAAAACAAUAGGAAUAAAAUUACCCAUUUAAACUAAUUUCCCUAUACACUCCAAUCAAAUUUAUAUGUAAAAUUUGGUCAUAUCAACAACCAUAUAUAAAAUGUAAAAACAAGUAUUGAUAAAAUUUAUAACAAAUAAAAAAUAACUCUAGUAAACUAAUUCGGCAAUAGAUUAUUUGACUGUUUACCAAAAACAUUUCCUAUAGAAAAAUAUUAUAGGUAGGCCCUGCCCUAUGUAUUAAUAAAUGGCCGCAGUACCCUAACUGUGCUAAGGUAGCAUAAUCAUUUGUCUUUUAAUUAAAGACUGGAAUGAAUGGGUUAACACAAUAAUCACUGUAUCUACUAGACCAAUAAAAACUUUACUUUUGGUGAAAAUACCAAAAUACUCAUAAAGGACAAGAAGACCCUGUAGAGCUUUAGUUAUUAACUUUAAUUGGGGCGAUUAUGGAUACAUACAAAACUUCCAUCACUAACAAGAUUCACAAAUCAAUCUCUGACCCUCCAGGUUCAAAGAAUAAGCUACCUCAGGGUUAACAGGCUUAAAUUCUUUAAGAGUCCAUAUUGACAAGAUUUUUUGGCACCUCGAUGUUGGCUUAACAAUCUAGUUUCUGCAACAGGAAACCCAGAAGGUUUGUUCACCCUUUAAUGCGUUACAUGAGCUGAGUUCAGACCGACGUAAGUCAGGUUAGUUUCUAUCCUUAUGACUGGUAAUAAAUAGUACGAAAGGACCUUUAUUACUUGAUUAUCAAUAUCUAUGAAUUCAUCUAAAUUCACUUU
RNAcentral lists this ribosomal RNA (1089 nucleotides) under Dinophilus gyrociliatus. RNAcentral describes it as "16S ribosomal RNA". The stretch from base 673 to 1089 matches the Rfam family "Bacterial large subunit ribosomal RNA", at positions 2045 to 2741 of the family's 2925-position model. The record is from RNAcentral. Lineage: Eukaryota; Metazoa; Annelida; Polychaeta; Dinophilidae.